This 73-nucleotide transfer RNA is filed under the name Shinella kummerowiae. RNAcentral's name for it is "tRNA-OTHER". It matches the Rfam family "tRNA". Rfam says of the family: Transfer RNA (tRNA) molecules are approximately 80 nucleotides in length. Their secondary structure includes four short double-helical elements and three loops (D, anti-codon, and T loops). Further hydrogen bonds mediate the characteristic L-shaped molecular structure. tRNAs have two regions of fundamental functional importance: the anti-codon, which is responsible for specific mRNA codon recognition, and the 3' end, to which the tRNAs corresponding amino acid is attached (by aminoacyl-tRNA synthetases). tRNAs cope with the degeneracy of the genetic code in two manners: having more than one tRNA (with a specific anti-codon) for a particular amino acid; and 'wobble' base-pairing, i.e. permitting non-standard base-pairing at the 3rd anti-codon position. Lineage: Bacteria; Pseudomonadati; Pseudomonadota; Alphaproteobacteria; Hyphomicrobiales; Rhizobiaceae. The record is from RNAcentral.
GCUCCCGUAGCUCAGCUGGAUAGAGCGCCUGGCUAAUCCUUGGAGGUCGUCGGUUCAACUCCGGCCGGGAGCU